GAUGAACGCUGGCGGCGUGCCUAAUACAUGCAAGUCGAGCGAACAGACGAGGAGCUUGCUCCUCUGACGUUAGCGGCGGACGGGUGAGUAACACGUGGAUAACCUACCUAUAAGACUGGGAUAACUUCGGGAAACCGGAGCUAAUACCGGAUAAUAUAUUGAACCGCAUGGUUCAAUAGUUAAAGACGGUUUUGCUGUCACUUAUAGAUGGAUCCGCGCCGCAUUAGCUAGUUGGUAAGGUAACGGCUUACCAAGGCGACGAUGCGUAGCCGACCUGAGAGGGUGAUCGGCCACACUGGAACUGAGAAACGGUCCAGACUCCUACGGGAGGCAGCAGUAGGGAAUCCUCCGCAAUGGGCGAAAGCCUGACGGAGCAACGCCGCGUGAGUGAUGAAGGUCUUCGGAUCGUAAAACUCUGUUAUUAGGGAAGAACAAAUGUGUAAGUAACUAUGCACGUCUUGACGGUACCUAAUCAGAAAGCCACGGCUAACUACGUG
Molecule: ribosomal RNA, 497 nt
Filed under: uncultured bacterium
Lineage: Bacteria
Description: partial 16S ribosomal RNA
Rfam family: Bacterial small subunit ribosomal RNA
Source: RNAcentral